RNAcentral lists this ribosomal RNA (259 nucleotides) under uncultured bacterium. Its description in RNAcentral is "partial 16S ribosomal RNA". It matches the Rfam family "Bacterial small subunit ribosomal RNA", at positions 524 to 776 of the family's 1533-position model. The record is from RNAcentral.
UAACUAGGGGGCGAGCGUUAUUCGUCGUUACUGAGUGUAAAGGGCACGUAGGUGCGUAGAUUAAUUAUAUAGAAAAUUCUAGAACUGAACUGUAGGAUAAUAUAUUAAAAUUGUAUACGUCUGGAUUAUGUUUAGGUUGAUAGAACUCUCAAAGGAGUAACGGCAGUGAAAGGCCGAGUUUGGGAUGAAUAUCGAGAGGCGAAGGCAAUUUUCCGAACAUAAUUGACGCUGAGUUGCGAAAGCUUGGAGAGCAAACAAG